RNAcentral lists this ribosomal RNA (488 nucleotides) under uncultured bacterium. RNAcentral describes it as "bacterial SSU rRNA". It matches the Rfam family "Bacterial small subunit ribosomal RNA", at positions 29 to 496 of the family's 1533-position model. The record is from RNAcentral.
AAUCAACGCUGGCGGCGUGCCUAACACAUGCAAGUCGAACGCGAAAGCCCCGCAAGGGGCAAGUAGAGUGGCAAACGGGUGAGUAACACGUGGGUGACCUGCCUUCGAGUGGGGGAUAACGUCCCGAAAGGGACGCUAAUACCGCAUGACAUCCUGCCUUUGGAGAGGUGGAGAUCAAAGCCGGGGAUCGCAAGACCUGGCGCUUGAAGAGGGGCCCGCGCCUGAUUAGCAGUUGGUGGGGUAACGGCUCACCAAGGCGACGAUCAGUAUCCGGCCUGAGAGGGCGGACGGACACACUGGGACUGAGACACGGCCCAGACUCCUACGGGAGGCAGCAGUGGGGAAUUGUUCGCAAUGGGCGCAAGCCUGACGACGCAACGCCGCGUGGAGGACGAAGAUCUUCGGGUCGUAAACUCCUGUCGAGCGGGACGAACGCUUCGCGGAUGAAUACUCCGCGGAAUUGACGGUACCGCUAAAGGAAGCCCCGG